AUUGUGUUUCAACACAAAAUAUUUGUUAAGUGUUCGAAAUGGCCGACUUGACAUUUCAGAAUGAUCCUUCAUACAAGAUUCAGGGAGUUCCUGAUGCGAUCAAGAUGAACCAGCUCCAGAACCUGCUGCACGACGCCCUCAUCUCGACGGACCACGUCCAGCAGUGUGCCGUCAUCCACCGCAAGGACUGCAGCGUCCGGGCCAGCUCCAUUGGCUUUAGUUUAUACCCAGACCAAAUUCAAAUGCUGUUAGAUGCAUUUAGAAAUCCUCAACAAACGCGGGAAGAGGGAAUGUAUUUCGCAGACCAGCAAUACAAGUGUGUUAGAGCUGACAAGAACUCAAUAUAUGCAAAAUGUAAUAAAAAUGGCUUAGUACUGGUGAAAACCAUAUCUUUACUCCUUGUUGCAACCUACACAGAAAACAUGUUUGCUGGUGUGUGUGUGGAAGCUGUGGAAAAAUUAGCUGAUUAUUUCAAAGAAAAAGGAAAAUGAUGGACCGACCCUAACAAAGCCCUACAAACUGGACAACAUUGACCUAAGCAAAAUAUAUACUUUUCUGCAAUUUGAAUACACAUUGGCCUGUCCACUAAAGGUUUCAUCCUUCGACUCUUCACAUAUCAGUCAUUCUACCAGUUAUAUUCUGCUUCUGCAAACAUAAAAAGAGGCAUAUAAAAGGCCUUAAACAGUUAUGCAUGGAUUAUGGGUUUUUUACAUAUACGAAAGAAGUAUGUAUGUAAGUUUAGUUUACUUGUUAUUUGUUAUUUUAAUACGUUUUCUGUUGAAUAUCCGUCCAAUUUCUCAUUCUAUUCAAACUACUGAACAUUCCAUCCAUUUUAACCUCUUAACAGACCCAGUACUUGUUAAAUUGUUCUUUUUAAUGUUCAUUUAACACCAUUGUGUAUACAUUGUUGCUUUUGCAAGAAGAUACCGUUGAUAAUUAUUAUUGAUUAUAAUAUUACAUGUUUUUUAAUAAAUUAUAUAUAUAUGUAUAGAAGAAUUCUAUUUUAUUUUUCUAAGGAUUCAGUCUUUACGAGACAGGUUCCUUUUGUAAUACUGAAUAAAAGUAGGGCAGUGACCCCAGUAUUCGACCAGUGUAUUUAAUUAAUUACCAUACUGGUUUAAACUGAAUAGUAUAUUGAUUUUCCCAAAGUAUUUAGAACAUACGCUUCAGGGUAAACAUUCUUUCUUCCGGAAACGCAAUAGCAGACAAUAACCAUGUGAAUGAACUUAAGUAUAUAUUCAUCAGCUAUAGUGAUAAUAUGAACGUCGGCCAUUUUUAUUGCAUGCUAUUACACCAUCCAACAUUCCGUGAACAUUUGCAAUACUUUUAAUCCAUUUGAAAUCUUUGAAAAUGUCUUUAAUGUUUUUAUUUAUGAUCAAACAGAGCUGGCAAUACGAUACGUACCAGUCUUUAAUGUACCAGUCUUGGGUAACUGGUUGAGGGGGGGGGGGGGGGGGAGGGGGUUUGAGAGUGAGGGGAAUACAACUGAAGGUGAUUAAUCCUAAGAUCCAGCCACCUUAGCGAGUGCUCUACCACUGAGCCACAUCCCAUCUCCCAAUCAGGAGCCUGCCCCCCCCCCUAAAUUUUGUGACAGUUAUAAUUUUAUUAUAUAUUAAUUUGCUUCUUUUUUUAUGGUGCCCUCCAAAAUUCCACUGGCAAUCUGCCUCAUGUCGUUGGGGGCCCCCCUAAAUAACAUACUGCUGCAUUCGAUAUAUUAGUCUUGGGGCACUGGAUGAAAAAGUCCAUCGUCGAUAUUGAUACUUGGACUCAUUGCACAUCAAUCAAGCAUUCUACCACCUAGGAAAAUUGAAUUAUUAAAAGUUAAGUUUUGUUGGAUAUCACCACUAUAGCACAUUAUUUAAUCAUCGGCUAAUGGAUGUCAAACAUUUGGGGAUUCUAACAGACUUGGGAGGAAACCAGCUACAUUUUUUCCCAUUGGCAGCAAGGAAUCUUCCCACCGACUGAACAGCACAUACUACCACCUUUGAUAUUCCAGUCACUGGUUGGGACAAGGAAAAAACCCAAUCAGUGAAUGGAUCUACCUAAUCACCAUAAUUGUGUCAGUUCAAUAAUAUUGAAUAAGUUACGUCCAGUUUCGUUUUUGAUCAAGUAUAGUUUUUUGCAAACUACCAUAAGAUUGUUGAUGGGGUGGGAAAUAACCCCCGACAUGCUGAAUACUCAAUUUCAUAAAAUUUAAUCCUGUAAAGUAUGUUUUGUUUAACACCACCACUAGAGCACACCGAUUUAAUGAAAAGAAAAAGAAAGAAAUGUUUUAUUUAACGACGCACUCAACAUUUUAUUUUUACGGUUAUAUGGCAUCA
Molecule: unclassified non-coding RNA, 2321 nt
Filed under: Gigantopelta aegis
Lineage: Eukaryota; Metazoa; Mollusca; Gastropoda; Neomphalida; Peltospiridae
Description: profilin-4-like, transcript variant X3
Source: RNAcentral